UUAUUCAUCUUCAAAGCUUGAAAAGUCUCUCACAGCCACCCGCGCAGACACGGAGAAAGUUCUCGAAUUCUGACUACGGAUAUUCAAAUCUAUUUUCUUAAUCAAACAUUGACAAACACGCGAAAGCUUGUUUGCUUAUUUAUUUUUUUCUUUUUCAAUUUGACAGGGGAAAAAGAAGAAGAUUUUAAGCUCUGUCCCAAUUGUGAAAUUUGUACUGCUCAAUUGUUGUUCCAACGGCUUCGUCGGAGGCUCAAAUGGAGAAGAUGAAAAUCCGUCAAAAUUAUCGAAAUCACUGGCACACUGAUCUCCUCCGUGCUCCUCAGUCGGAUCCUCUUUUUUGCUGUUUCUCGCUUUGGUGCGGUCCUUGUGCAUCAUACAUCCUCCGAAAACGAGCUCUAUACAAUGAUAUGUCAAGGUAUACAUGUUGUGGAGGCUAUAUGCCUUGUAGUGGCAGAUGUGGAGAAAGUCAUUGCCCUGAGUUAUGUCUUUGCACAGAGGUGUUUCUUUGCUUCGCAAAUUCAGUUGCCUCAACGCGCUUUAUGUUGCAAGAUGAGUUCAAUCUGCAGACGACAAAAUGCGAUAAUUGCAUAAUCGGGUUCAUGUUUUGCCUCCAGCAGGUAGCAUGUAUACUUAGCUGCAUUGCUUGUAUUACAGGAAACGAUGAACUUCAAGAGGCUUCUCGGGUUCUCAACUGUUGCUCGGACAUGGUUUACUGCACGGUUUGUAGCUGUAUGCAGACACAGCACAUGGUAGAAAUGAAUAAAAGAGAUGGUAAAUUUGGGCCAAGGCCAAUGGUAGCACCAGCUGUUCAACAAAUGUCUCGUUUGGAUCAGCCUCUUCCUCCAACCAUCGGAUAUGCACCGCCGCAGCCACAAGCUUAUCCCCCAAAGCAGCUACCCACUAUGUACCCCCCACCACCCCAGCAAUCCCCUAUGUACCCACCACCACCCCAGCAAUCCCCUAUGUACCCACCACCACCCCAGCAACCCUAUGGAUACCCACCACCACCAUCACAACCCCAUGGAUAUCCACCAGCCAAUUAUGCUCCUGGUGUCGGAUACCCUCCAUCUGGUUAUCCGCGGUGAAGGUAGUCCGGUGCACUAAGCUUUUACCGUGCGCGAGGUUCAGAGAAGAGUUAGAUCACAUUGAUCUGAUGUAAGCAGCCUUGCUUUGUAUUGCUACAAGAGAAGCCAAGAAGUCAUUUACAGGAACUCCAUAAGGUUGGUUAUUCUAGAUUCCUACACAGUUUCACAUCAUGGAGACAACAUUCAAGUUAUAGGAGGAUCAGUUGCUAUAUCUACUCACGCAUGGAGGAAUUUUGGAGAAUUGUUGUGGUAUGGUGUAUUGGUUGGAGAUUCACAUUUGCCUUGUCAUUUGGAAUGCAAAAUCUGGCGCCUGAUGAAAGCAUUAGAGGUGCUACUAUGAGGUCUUUGCACUUGGCUUGUGGAGUCACUUACAUCAUCUUCUUAUGGCAAUCUUUCUUCACAUUCAUUGUAACAGCUAGUUUGUUAUUUAGAGCUGCUUGUGUAAUAGCUAGUUGUAGACGUCUUGUUUUAUUUUUAUUUGGAUAAAUUGUAAACCUUGGACUCAUUUUGAGAUUAUUUUAUCUGUAUAUUAGCUACUAGGCAGAUAUCUAUACU
Molecule: RNA transcript, 1640 nt
Organism: Nicotiana tabacum (common tobacco)
Lineage: Eukaryota; Viridiplantae; Streptophyta; Magnoliopsida; Solanales; Solanaceae
Source: RefSeq, a predicted model, not a curated record